UGGGGAAUAUUGCACAAUGGAGGGAACUCUGAUGCAGCGACGCCGCGUGAACGAAGAAGGCUUUCGAGUCGUAAAGUUCUUUUAUAUGGGAAGAUAAUGACGGUACAAUAAGAAGAAGCCCCGGCUAACUACGUGCCAGCAGCCGCGGUAAUACGUAGGGGGCUAGCGUUGUCCGGAAUCACUGGGGGUAAAGGGUUCGCAGGCGGAAAUGCAAGUCAGGUGUAAAAGGCAGUAGCUUAACUACUGUAAGCAUUUGAAACUGCAUAUCUUGAGAAGAGUAGAGGUAAGUGGAAUUUUUAGUGUAGCGGUGAAAUGCGUAGAUAUUAAAAAGAAUACCGGUGGCGAAGGCGACUUACUGGGCUCAUUCUGACGCUGAGGAACGAAAGCGUGGGUAGCAAACAGG
This 403-nucleotide ribosomal RNA is filed under the name bacterium. RNAcentral's name for it is "partial 16S ribosomal RNA". It matches the Rfam family "Bacterial small subunit ribosomal RNA", at positions 355 to 776 of the family's 1533-position model. The record is from RNAcentral.